This is a long non-coding RNA of Spea bombifrons (plains spadefoot toad), 233 nucleotides long. RefSeq lists it as uncharacterized. NCBI's taxonomy places the organism in Eukaryota, Metazoa, Chordata, Amphibia, Anura, Pelobatidae. The record is from RefSeq and is a predicted model, not a curated record. The transcript has 4 exons.
CUGCCAUUCUCACAGCUGCCUUCGGACCACGGAUUAAAUAACAAAGGAUAGCGGGGUGACUCCUAGGAUUACCAUGUUCUUCUCUCUCAUUCUCUGCUUCAGCACUUUGCUGGGGUAUGCAGCUACCAAUCAUGAGGAGGUUGCAGUUGUGCCCGGCAAUUUUCUUAAAUCAGCUUCAGAAUCACGUGCUCAACUAGUAUUUCAGCAGUACCUGGUUGCACUGUCGAACGGUA